CUCAUAGUUUGUAAUUUUUUGGAGCAAGAUAAGCGAACAAUAGUGGCUCAACUGUUGAGAUAUAUUUGAUGUUUUGGUGUUAUGUUUUUUCAACUGUUUUUCGUUGUUAUGGGGCGAAAAUGUGAUACCCGCGGUUAUUUUGCAGAUUUGACGCAUUGCAUGUAUCAACAGAAAAUGUGAAGGACAAAACAUAGUUGCCACUAGGGCAUGCUUACAACGAGUAACCGUGUAUCUUUUCACUGUCAGUCCCAUAUGUUUCAUUGCCUAAUUAUUAUCAAACAGCCAAAAGGAAGGGGAAGGACGAGAAGAAUACAACUUUUAAAAAGACACAAUUGUAUUGCAAGAAUUAUGAUUUUUCAUUGAUAAAUAUAAUUUUAAAGAUUGGAGCAAUAUUUAAUUUACUUUAUCUUCAUUUGCAAUUUUAGUUUAUUUCAAAUGAAAUAAUUCUAUCACAAACUGAUAUUGGGGUCAUAAGCAAUAGCACAUGGAUCCUAACAUUUUUUGAAAGGGUUCUAAUAUAUUGCAAGAUUGCUUUGCUUUAUUGAAAGAAAAUCCAAUUUAUAAAUUUACUAUCAAUAAAGAUGAAUUUUCGUUCUGAAAAAUUUAUUACCAAUUUUUUAAUAUGUUUUCUUGUGUUCAAGGGUUACUUUUGAAAGGGACUUUUCUUCUUGGGUUGCAUGAAAUGAAAGCAUCUAAAAUUUCUUUAAUAUUUCAUGGUAUAUAAAAAGUUUCUAAUAACAAUUGCCCAAAUAAAUAUAUUUUCCAUUAUCUGCUUUCUCAAAUCAUUUUGAUUUUCAACCCACACCAAUCGGUUCCAAACAAACUCUUACACAACAGAAACAAUCAGGUAUGCUCAAUUUUAACUAGAAAAUAUUCUGUUUCAAAUUUUCUAACUUAUCAACAGUCAACUAGUAUCACGCAGGCCAUUUAUUUGAAUUAGACGAAAUAUUCUUGCAUAAUCGCUAGUAAUUUGUUAUGUCUUACUCUUAAGACUUAUCUAUUCAAUUUUAAUUGACGACGAUUAUAAUGUUGCAGAAGAUUGAGAAAUUAAAUAAUUUUUAAGAAAAUUUUCAUGAUGAUAGGGAUAAAAACGAUGGUUGACAAUUAUGCUGACUUAUUUAAUACAUUUAAAUACUCAAACAUAAUUUUAUUUAGAUCUAAAAUUGUAGCGAAAUUCCCAAUAAGAGAGUGUUGUUCCUGUGGUAAUAGUAUUCACAUAACGCAUUGUAUUUUACUCUGUUUCGUCUGUUUUUUACCUCCAUGUAAUUUAUAUAAUUUAAGUUUAAACUUUAUCUUAAUACAAAUUAUUUAAUACUUUUAUAAUUUUACAUAUCUCUAAUUUGCGUUCGAUAGCUCGACAAUAAAAUAUUUUUACUAGAUAAAAUCAAAUGGUCCUAGGAGUCCAAUUAAUAUGGUAAGUUGGAGAAUGAUCACUAAUAAUUAUUUAUAGGUAAAAAUAUUGUAAAUACCUCCAGAACUUCUUUAUAAAAACAUGUUCCCUAAAUCGCGUCGAAGUUCUGGUCGAAAAGCAAAAAAAAUAAUUUAUAAAUAUUAAUACUCCCUAUAAAAUCCACUACAAUGUUUGCGGUAGAUAUUUCAUUUAAAAAAAAAAAUUGUGAUUCAGCAGAUUCU
Long non-coding RNA from Hermetia illucens (black soldier fly), 1632 nucleotides. RefSeq lists it as uncharacterized. The transcript is spliced from 3 exons. Lineage: Eukaryota; Metazoa; Arthropoda; Insecta; Diptera; Stratiomyidae. The record is from RefSeq and is a predicted model, not a curated record.